RNAcentral lists this ribosomal RNA (991 nucleotides) under human gut metagenome. Its description in RNAcentral is "bacterial SSU rRNA". It matches the Rfam family "Bacterial small subunit ribosomal RNA", at positions 29 to 1029 of the family's 1533-position model. The record is from RNAcentral.
ACGAACGCUGGCGGCGUGCCUAACACAUGCAAGUCGAGCGGAGACAGUGAGUAGCUUGCUAUGAGCUGUUUUAGCGGCGGACGGGUGAGUAACGCGUGAGCAACCUUUCCCAGACAGGGGAAUAACACACCGAAAGGUGUACUAAUACCGCAUAAGACCACGGGAUCACAUGGUUCUGAGGUAAAAGAAUUAUCGGUUUGGGGUGGGCUCGCGUCCGAUUAGGUAGUUGGUGAGGUAACGGCCCACCAAGCCGACGAUCGGUAGCCGACCUGAGAGGGUGAUCGGCCACAUUGGGACUGAGACACGGCCCAAACUCCUACGGGAGGCAGCAGUGGGGAAUAUUGGGCAAUGGGGGGAACCCUGACCCAGCAACGCCGCGUGGAGGAAGAAGGUUUUCGGAUCGUAAACUCCUGUCCUUGGAGACGAGUAGAAGACGGUAUCCAAGGAGGAAGCCCCGGCUAACUACGUGCCAGCAGCCGCGGUAAUACGUAGGGGGCAAGCGUUGUCCGGAAUAAUUGGGCGUAAAGGGCGCGUAGGCGGCUCGGUAAGUCUGGAGUGAAAGUCCUGCUUUUAAGGUGGGAAUUGCUUUGGAUACUGUCGGGCUUGAGUGCAGGAGAGGUUAGUGGAAUUCCCAGUGUAGCGGUGAAAUGCGUAGAGAUUGGGAGGAACACCAGUGGCGAAGGCGACUAACUGGACUGUAACUGACGCUGAGGCGCGAAAGUGUGGGGAGCAAACAGGAUUAGAUACCCUGGUAGUCCACACUGUAAACGAUGAAUGCUAGGUGUAGGGGGUAUCGACCCCUUCUGUGCCGCAGUAAACACAAUAAGCAUUCCGCCUGGGGAGUACGGCCGCAAGGUUGAAACUCAAAGGAAUUGACGGGGGCCCGCACAAGCAGCGGAGCAUGUGGUUUAAUUCGACGCAACGCGAAGAACCUUACCAGGUCUUGACAUCCACUUAAACUUACAGAGAUGUAAGGUGUGCUUGCACAAAG